This 465-nucleotide ribosomal RNA is filed under the name uncultured Klebsiella sp. RNAcentral describes it as "bacterial SSU rRNA". It matches the Rfam family "Bacterial small subunit ribosomal RNA", at positions 338 to 795 of the family's 1533-position model. Lineage: Bacteria; Pseudomonadati; Pseudomonadota; Gammaproteobacteria; Enterobacterales; Enterobacteriaceae. The record is from RNAcentral.
CCUACGGGGGGCAGCAGUGGGGAAUAUUGCACAAUGGGCGCAAGCCUGAUGCAGCCAUGCCGCGUGUGUGAAGAAGGCCUUCGGGUUGUAAAGCACUUUCAGCGGGGAGGAAGGCGGUGAGGUUAAUAACCUCAUCGAUUGACGUUACCCGCAGAAGAAGCACCGGCUAACUCCGUGCCAGCAGCCGCGGUAAUACGGAGGGUGCAAGCGUUAAUCGGAAUUACUGGGCGUAAAGCGCACGCAGGCGGUCUGUCAAGUCGGAUGUGAAAUCCCCGGGCUCAACCUGGGAACUGCAUUCGAAACUGGCAGGCUAGAGUCUUGUAGAGGGGGGUAGAAUUCCAGGUGUAGCGGUGAAAUGCGUAGAGAUCGGGAGGAAUACCGGUGGCGAAGGCGGCCCCCUGGACAAAGACUGACGCUCAGGUGCGAAAGCGUGGGGAGCAAACAGGAUUAGAUACCCGGGUAGUC